This 497-nucleotide ribosomal RNA is filed under the name uncultured bacterium. Its description in RNAcentral is "partial 16S ribosomal RNA". It matches the Rfam family "Bacterial small subunit ribosomal RNA", at positions 28 to 507 of the family's 1533-position model. The record is from RNAcentral.
GAUGAACGCUGGCGGCGUGCCUAAUACAUGCAAGUCGAGCGAACGGACGAGAAGCUUGCUUCUCUGAUGUUAGCGGCGGACGGGUGAGUAACACGUGGAUAACCUACCUAUAAGACUGGGAUAACUUCGGGAAACCGUAGCUAAUACCGGAUAAUAUUUUGAACCGCAUGGUUCAAAAGUGAAAGACGGUCUUGCUGUCACUUAUAGAUGGAUCCGCGCUGCAUUAGCUAGUUGGUAAGGUAACGGCUUACCAAGGCAACGAUGCAUAGCCGACCUGAGAGGGUGAUCGGCCACACUGGAACUGAGACACGGUCCAGACUCCUACGGGAGGCAGCAGUAGGGAAUCUUCCGCAAUGGGCGAAAGCCUGACGGAGCAACGCCGCGUGAGUGAUGAAGGUCUUCGGAUCGUAAAACUCUGUUAUUAGGGAAGAACAUAUGUGUAGGUAACUGUGCACAUCUUGACGGUACCUAAUCAGAAAGCCACGGCUAACUACGUG